CAUGUCCUUUUGAUAAUAAUUUAAGGUCUGAUCUGCUCAAUGAAGUUUAAAUUGCCGCAGUAUUUUGACUGUGCAAAGGUAGCAUAAUAAUUAGUUUCUUGAUUAGGAACUGGAAUGAAUGAUUGGACAAGAAAAUAUCUGUCUCUUUUUUAAAUUUUUUGAAUUUUAUUUUUAAGUGAAAAAGCUUAAAUUUUUAUAAAAGACGAGAAGACCCUAUAGAGUUUAAUAUUUCAGUUUAAUUAAAUUUUAGAAUUAAAUUUUGAAUUGAUUUAUUUGGUUGGGGUGAUCUAAAGAUAAAAAUAAUUCUUUAAAAGUUUAAUUGAUGAUUUUUAAAUUUUAAAUCUAUAGUUUUUAAAACUAAAACAAAUUACCUUAGGGAUAACAGCGUAAUUUUUCUUUAAAGUUCUUAUUAAAAGGAAAGUUUGCGACCUCGAUGUUGGAUUAAAAUUAAUUUUUGGUGCAGUAACUUAAAAAUUAGGUCUGUUCGACCUUUAAAAUUUUACAUGAUCUGAGUUUAAACCGGUGUAAACCAGGUUGGAUUCUAUCUUUAGAAAGUUAAUAUAUUUUAGUACGAAAGGACCAAAUAUAUAUUUUAAAAAUU
Molecule: ribosomal RNA, 601 nt
Filed under: Metriorrhynchus sp. A00422
Lineage: Eukaryota; Metazoa; Arthropoda; Insecta; Coleoptera; Lycidae
Description: partial 16S ribosomal RNA
Rfam family: Bacterial large subunit ribosomal RNA
Source: RNAcentral